UACGAAGGGGGCUAGCGUUGCUCGGAAUCACUGGGCGUAAAGCGCACGUAGGCGGGUUGGUAAGUCGGGGGUGAAAUCCUGGAGCUCAACUCCAGAACUGCCUUCGAUACUGGCGACCUUGAGUCCGGGAGAGGUGAGUGGAACUCCGAGUGUAGAGGUGAAAUUCGUAGAUAUUCGGAAGAACACCAGUGGCGAAGGCGGCUCACUGGCCCGGUACUGACGCUGAGAUACGAAAGCGUGGGGAGCAAACAGG
Molecule: ribosomal RNA, 253 nt
Filed under: uncultured bacterium
Lineage: Bacteria
Description: partial 16S ribosomal RNA
Rfam family: Bacterial small subunit ribosomal RNA
Source: RNAcentral